CCUACGGGAGGCUGCAGUGAGGAAUAUUGCACAAUGGGCGGAACCCUGAUGCAGCGACGCCGCGUGGGUGAGGAAGUACUUCGGGAUUGAAAGCCCUAUCAGCAGGGAAGAAAAUGACGGUACCUGACUAAGAAGCCCCGGCUAACUACGUGCCAGCAGCCGCGGUAAUACGUAGGGUGCAAGCGUUAUCCGGAUUUACUGGGGGUAAAGGGAGCGUAGACGGCGUGGAAAGUCUGGUGUGAAAGGCCGGGGCUCAACCCCGGGACUGCAUUGGAAACUGGCGUGCUGGAGUGCGGGAGGGGCAAGCGGAAUUCCUAGUGUAGCGGUGAAAUGCGUAGAUAUUAGGAGGAACACCGGUGGCGAAGGCGGCUUGCUGGACGGUAACUGACGUUGAGGCUCGAAAGCGUGGGGAGCAAACAGGAUUAGAUACCCGUGUAGUC
Molecule: ribosomal RNA, 440 nt
Filed under: uncultured bacterium
Lineage: Bacteria
Description: partial 16S ribosomal RNA
Rfam family: Bacterial small subunit ribosomal RNA
Source: RNAcentral